CUUUAAAACCAUUCCAGUUCGGAUUGCAGGCUGCAACUCACCUGCAUGAAGCCGGAAUCGCUAGUAAUCGCCGAUCAGCCAUACGACGGUGAAUUCGUUCCCGGGCCUUGUACGCACUGCCCGUCACACUAUGGGAGUUGGCCAUGCCCGAAGUCGUUACCUUAACCGCAAGGAGGGGGAUGCCGAAGGCAGGGCUAGUGACUGGAGUGAAGUCGUAACAAGGUAGCCAUACUGGAAGGUGCGGUUGGAUCACCUCCUUUUCAGGGAGAGCUAAUUCUUGUUGGGUAUUUUGGUUUGACAAUGCUUCACACCCCCAAAAAAGAAGGGAGCUACGUCUGAAUGAAACAGGGAGAUGGGAAG
Long non-coding RNA from Ipomoea nil (Japanese morning glory), 360 nucleotides. RefSeq lists it as uncharacterized. The record is from RefSeq and is a predicted model, not a curated record. The transcript is spliced from 4 exons. NCBI's taxonomy places the organism in Eukaryota, Viridiplantae, Streptophyta, Magnoliopsida, Solanales, Convolvulaceae.